UACGGAGGAUGCAAGCGUUAUCCGGAUUUAUUGGGUUUAAAGGGUACGCAGGUUGUUUGAUAAGUCAGUGGUGAAAGUCUGUCGCUUAACGGUAGGAUUGCCAUUGAUACUGUUAGACUUGAAUAUGGAUGAGGUAGGCGGAAUGUGUAGUGUAGCGGUGAAAUGCAUAGAUAUUACACAGAACACCGAUUGCGAAGGCAGCUUACUAAUCCAUCAUUGACGCUGAGGCACGAAAGCGUGGGGAGUCAAACAGGA
This 255-nucleotide ribosomal RNA is filed under the name uncultured prokaryote. Its description in RNAcentral is "partial 16S ribosomal RNA". It matches the Rfam family "Bacterial small subunit ribosomal RNA", at positions 524 to 777 of the family's 1533-position model. The record is from RNAcentral.